UGCCAUGUUUUGAAGCCUUUGCCAUCAAAUUGGUUUGGCAUCAGUCCUUGAGUGAACACACUAGGGACAGUCGGAGGAGUUUGAACUGCCACCGGACCACUUGCAGUUGCUGAAAUGGAACCCGUCUGAUAAAGACCAGCACCGAAUAGGGUACGGCGAGUGGUUUCAUCAGCAGCAUUCCCCGCAGGGAGGAAAGUGCUCGUUGUUGCUGCAGUGGUUGACGCUGUGAUGU
Molecule: long non-coding RNA, 232 nt
Filed under: Brassica rapa (field mustard)
Lineage: Eukaryota; Viridiplantae; Streptophyta; Magnoliopsida; Brassicales; Brassicaceae
Description: long non-coding RNA (BRAP_LNC002495)
Source: RNAcentral